CCCUUAGAUGUUCUGGGCCGCACGCGCGCUACACUGAUGCAUUCAACGAGUCUAAAACCUGCUCUGAUAGGGGUGGGUAAUCUUUUGAAUGUGCAUCGUGAUUGGGAUAGAUGAUUGCAAUUUUUCAUCUUCAACGAGGAAUGCCUAGUAAACGCAAGUCAUCAGCUUGCAUUGAUUACGUCCCUACCCUUUGUACACACCGCCCGUCGCUCCUACCGAUUGAAUGAUCCGAUGAAUAUCAUGGAUUGAGGAUGUAAGCAGGUUCGCCUGUCUUCAUCUUCGAGAAGUGAAGUAAAUCUUAUCAUUUAGAGGAAGGAGAAGUCGUAACA
Molecule: ribosomal RNA, 329 nt
Filed under: uncultured eukaryote
Lineage: Eukaryota
Description: partial 18S ribosomal RNA
Rfam family: Eukaryotic small subunit ribosomal RNA
Source: RNAcentral